GUAGAGGCUGGAUGGGUAGAACUUUUAUACUAUUUAAACAGUUACUACAAUAAUUAUUGUUACUGUAAUGGGCCAAGGCCCAAACACAUGACUGUUUCUGUAUUGAGAUGGGCUAAAGCCCAAACUGAUAUUGUCACUGUACUAAAAAGGGCUUAGGCCCAAACUGUACUUGUUUUCUGACUGUUUACUUAUAUGGGAUUACACACUGAUUUUUCAUAAACUCAC
RNAcentral lists this long non-coding RNA (225 nucleotides) under Gossypium barbadense (sea-island cotton). RNAcentral describes it as "long non-coding RNA (GBAR_LNC008254)". The record is from RNAcentral. Lineage: Eukaryota; Viridiplantae; Streptophyta; Magnoliopsida; Malvales; Malvaceae.